CUUUGGUUUGGAGAAAGGAUAUCCUGUAAGGAACAAAAUCAUGAACAACAUGUUUUUCCCAGGUGAAGAAUUGAAAACGUGAAAUUAACUAAAGCACAACCAACUAAAGCAUAGUUAUUUAUGCUAGUAUUAUAUGUGACCCAGACGAGCAAAGAGUAUGAUAAAAGGUUUCCUUUCAUUUGUAUUAUCACUUCAGGAAUGCUUCAUGUGUGUGAAGGGAAAACGAAAGUUGCGUGAUGAGACAUUUCUCAGUCAUGACUUCUGAACACUUUACAGCCUUAGCGUACUCCUAAGACACAGUCUUCUAAGAUCCAAGGACAUCAUCUUACCUGUCUUUUACCCUUUUUUGGAAGCAUCUAAAGAAAAACUGGGUUUUAUGAAGGUAUAUGAAGAUAUCUUCUGAUAUAUGAAGAAUUGACAGGUAUGUAAAAGCCCUCUGUUAGAUUUUCCAUCCAAGUCUGCUUUGUUCACAAACUGCAUAC
This 482-nucleotide long non-coding RNA is filed under the name Accipiter nisus (Eurasian sparrowhawk). RNAcentral describes it as "lncRNA (ENSANIG00000014303.1)". Lineage: Eukaryota; Metazoa; Chordata; Aves; Accipitriformes; Accipitridae. The record is from RNAcentral.